CGAAACGUAGUCAUUCGCAUACACUGACACACCGGAUGGAUGGCGAUACUUACAUGCAUGGAUAACAUAGUGGAUGGUGUCAACCGCCGAGUCAGCAGAUUUAUAUUAUAAAAAGGUAGUGACCGCGUGACUCGUUCUCUUUUUUCCUGAAGGCGUCUGAUCAACUACCGGUGGUAGAGGUAUAGUGUAGUGAAUAAAGUGGUUGUAAAUUAGAAUUAAAGUUUUUAAAAAGUUGAAGAAGUUCCUGCCGAACUUAAGUGGUGUCAGAAGUGGGAUCGUGAAGGUGUUAAAAUAGAGGAAACAGUCCCGCCGCACGAUCGAGAAAACCCGGAUGCAGACUUCAAGACUGUUUUAGCAGACACAUAUUUCACCAGGAAGAAUACACUGAGGACCAGCUAUUGUAAAUUUUAAAAAAAUAUUUAGCUCCCGGAAUGACAAACGGAAUCUUUGCCCAUCCGUCGGUUGCAAAAUCGUGCUUCAAAAUCAUAAAUGACAAUUUUAAAGGGAUGAAAGUUCAAUUUUGCAACCUGAAAUUACCAGAUUUAAUAACCAAAAAAGACCAAGACGAAUUUGGUCGUAAAACGCACAACUUUAACCAUAGAAGUUGGAAGCUUAAUUACGAAGAACUUCGUCAAUCAGUCUUUUUCCCGGAUAUGAUAUCGAUUGUUAAGAACUUCGCGAAAAAUUGCCAACACUGUAAAUUUGCCAAAUACGAACGGCAUCCAUUUAAAAUUCCAAUCACGCGAAGAACAUAUGAUAAACCUUUAGAGAAUAUCUUUAUAGACGUAUACGUCAAGGAAGGAGAGAAGUUCUUAACAGUCAUCGAUUCAUUUUUAAAUUUGCACAACUUUACAAAAUCAGUAGCGAAACAAGCGAAGAGUUAAUCGAAACUCUCAUUAAAUACUUCAAAACGUUUGGAAUACCAAAAUUGAUCACUUGUGAUCAAGCUACAUCAUUUCGGAGCCAAAAUUUCAAAACCUUUUUGGAAGAAAACGGUGUUGCCGUUCACUAUGCUAGUAGCAGCAAUAGUAAUGGCAUCAUCGAGAGGUUCCAUAACAUGUUUAUGUUUAUGGCAAACCGAAGCAAAAUCAAUAACCUAACUCUGUACCAAGGACUUUCACUUAUAACAGCACUGUAUAACGACGCAAAGCAUACGACAACGAAUCUCACACCAAGACAAAUAAUCUUCGGAAAUUCGACUUCACUAGACUUGAAGGACAUAAACAUGAUGAAACAACAAAUAAUACAAACUGCCAAAGACAAUAUUGCCAGAAUAGCUACCAGACAUAAUUCAAAAUUAGUAGAAACGGACAAAGACUAUCAAGACAUCAAAAACAAAGAAAUUCUUGCCAAAACUAAAGCCAAAUCAUCUCCAUAUAGCAAUAGAUAUAGACUGGUCGAGGUAAAGGAACAGAAUGACAAAACAAUUACCGACACAACGGACAUCAAAAUUCAUAAGAAAAAAUUAAAACUCUAAUGGGAUUGACGAGGUAUGUUGCUUUUUCUGACUUUAUUUCAGACUAUGUUUCCUAUUCUGGACAUCUACAGCUUGGACAGACAUCCGCAUUUACGACCUGACUAAUAAUCCCAUAGCAAUCAUACCUCUCGGACAGGCCAGGAUUAGCAACAGUUAUAUCAGAGUAAUUCAUCCCGUAAAUUUAACAGCCAUAAAAGAUGCUAUAGAUUUGUUUGACUAUGUAACUAAAAAUUCUGAUUUAAAUAAUUCACUUUUCGAUCAAGUUAUUAGAAAAAAGAUAAAUAAAAUACACUUAACG
RNAcentral lists this long non-coding RNA (1775 nucleotides) under Aedes aegypti (yellow fever mosquito). RNAcentral describes it as "lncRNA AAEL024152". The record is from RNAcentral. Lineage: Eukaryota; Metazoa; Arthropoda; Insecta; Diptera; Culicidae.